RNAcentral lists this ribosomal RNA (468 nucleotides) under uncultured bacterium. RNAcentral describes it as "partial 16S ribosomal RNA". It matches the Rfam family "Bacterial small subunit ribosomal RNA", at positions 34 to 507 of the family's 1533-position model. The record is from RNAcentral.
GCCUCCCGCUUUCUUCGUGCUUAACACAUGCAAGUCGAACGGAAAGGCCCUGCUUUUGUGGGGUGCUCGAGUGGCGAACGGGUGAGUAACACGUGAGUAACCUGCCCUUGACUUUGGGAUAACUUCAGGAAACUGGGGCUAAUACCGGAUAGGAGCUCCUGCUGCAUGGUGGGGGUUGGAAAGUUUCGGCGGUUGGGGAUGGACUCGCGGCUUAUCAGCUUGUUGGUGGGGUAGUGGCUUACCAAGGCUUUGACGGGUAGCCGGCCUGAGAGGGUGACCGGCCACAUUGGGACUGAGAUACGGCCCAGACUCCUACGGGAGGCAGCAGUGGGGAAUAUUGCACAAUGGGCGGAAGCCUGAUGCAGCAACGCCGCGUGCGGGAUGACGGCCUUCGGGUUGUAAACCGCUUUCGCCUGUGACGAAGCGUGAGUGACGGUAAUGGGUAAAGAAGCACCGGCUAACUACGUG